Molecule: long non-coding RNA, 4294 nt
Organism: Anas platyrhynchos (mallard)
Lineage: Eukaryota; Metazoa; Chordata; Aves; Anseriformes; Anatidae
Source: RefSeq, a predicted model, not a curated record
CCGGACUGCUCGGGGUUAGGCUGGGCAUCGGUCAGCGAGUGAUUCAGACUUUCAAGUUCUUUAUCUGGUUGUUACCAAGAGACACCUCUGUCAAGUAUCUUCUUUUUCCAUUAGCCCAGAAAUGAGCAUCCUCUUAGACCUAUAUGCAUAUGAGAUGCAUAUGUUCCUUCCUGAGCUUUUAAGAUAAACAGUGAGAACUUAACAGGCCUGCUAAUCAAAGCUUACAGAAGGAAAAUAUCUUGUAAUUCAGACUUAGAAAUACCCCACAUGGCAAAAAAGGAAUGGACUGUCACACAGUAGGAUUUGUAGAAAAUUAACCAAAGUACAUAUGAGUUAACCAAAUAAUAAUUUAAAAAUUUAAAAUGCAAAGAAGGAAAAUUUCAACUGAAAAAAAAAUAAAUCAGAAACUGAAAUGUGCUACUGAACUGGAUACCUUUAAUUGGCACAUAGGUGCCAAAACAAAAAAACAAAACAAAACAAAACAAACAAACAACAAAAACAAACAAACAAACAAACAAAAAACAAACAAAAAACAAAAAAACAGUGCAAUGAAAAUCUGCAAAUAUUGUAAUGAUCUUGAACUAGCUUAGCUUAUAGGGAUGAUUUCUGCCAUCAUUAACAUUUCAUAGAGAAAAUUUCUGCAAUGCCAGUCCAUUCUGAAAUUAAGGUAGGAAGGUGGUAUACACAUAGAAAUAAAAAGACAAAAAGUGUAUUCUUGCUCAUACAACAAUAUGUGCAUGUUAUAUAAAUUUGUGAGGGCAUAAGCAGAUUGAUUAGUUUAUACUGCCAGUAAAAAAAACCAUGAACCUGUAUCAACUAUCACAAAUUUGGCUGUGCUCUUGUUGCAAGUACUUCUCUCUCUCUCAUUUUAUUUACUUAUUUACUUAUUUUCCCCUGUGAAUUUUCCCUUUGGAACAAAAUUAAAAUUUGUUUUCCUUUUUCUUCAAGAAAUUACAAGACACCAUGGCCUUCUGUUAGUAAGACACUGGUUAUAACACCAAAUGCCAUCUUGUCACAUGUUUUAAUAAUGCUGUCACUCAGCUGUCUUGCUCCAUAGAAAAGAUAAAUGACGGAGUAAAAAAGCUCUCAUAAAAUCUUAACUUGACAACACAAGAAAUUAUUUUAAUACAGAAAAAUAACAUUAUGACUGAAUUGGCUGUUGUUCUGGUAAGACCAACAUCAUAGUACCAGUCUUAAAAAGAAAGUUGUGGGGAAAAAAAAAAAAAAAAGUUUAGCAUUUCCUUAUGACAGAGAAUUCUGAAACCCUUGUUUCUUAUAGUUGAACUGAACAGAAAAGAUAAAGAGAAAGGAUGCAAACAGGACUAUCCACAAUAUGUGUUGGUAUGCAAAGAAUAAUCACAUAUGUCAUGGAAACAUAAUGAGUCAACAGUUCCUCUCAUGAAAAGAUUUCUAAAAUUGUAUGGAAAAAGAGCAUACACAUCCCCAAAAUUAAAUCUGUUAUAUUCCCCCAUUAUUUUCUAGAACAGUCGCAAAUCAAUGAGUAAAGACAGUCUCACUGUUAGCAUCUUUCCUUUGAGCUCUUCAACACAAAAGAAAGUCUGUGGCAUAGUCUUCACUUGUUUUCUGAAUAUAUAUUUAAGUUUCAGAUCUUCAGUAAACUAGUUGGGUUGCUUUUCCUUCUGCUGUUAACUGUGAGCUUGAAUUUCUAAGAAAGGCAGAAGAAAAUUUCUCUAUCCAUUGGACAGGAAAGAUUAGCUUUUAUUUUGUUUGGUACUGAAGACUAAAGCUGACCUGUGUGGAUAUUUCAUAGUUUUUCCACAGCUGAAAGAUUCCUGUUAGAAAUUUCCACGUGAUCACACAAACAUCCUGAAACUCCUCAAAGCUGUGAAAGAUAUUGAAUUGAGAGGUAAUGGAGGUACUAACCUUAUAUAAACCUGCAGUGAUUUUUUUUUCCCAUAUGCUUCUAUAGAACAUGAAGAUGUUUCUUUCCAUCUUCAGAAGCAUUAGCCCUAAAAGUUUUUAAAUAGCUAGAUAAAAGUCCUAGUAAAGAAUCAUCUAAGAAAAUGUCGGAACCCUUCAGUAAUACACAAGUACUCCCGUAUUGUCUAGCAGUGUUCAAAACACUAGAUUUAGCUAUUUUCUUCUCUGUAAAACUGAAAACAAAAAAACUUCUUAGAACUAUCAAGACAAAAAGUAUACCGUAGCCUAAAUAUGACUUAAGUUACCUCUUCUGUGUACUGAUGUGCUUUUCAAAAGUAAAUUGUCUUAAUUAUUUUUUGUUAUAGCUUUUUGUUAUAAUAGUUUUUGUUAUAGAAAACCAAAAUUUUAUUCUGAAUUCAGUAGGUGCUAAAUGACAAUUUCCCAGAUAAGUAAAUAAUACAUAUAUAUAUGUUACUAGCAUUUGUAAUAAUUCUCAGACUGAGAAUUAUUUAUGAUAUAUUUCUAAACAUCAUUAGAGAUCUUCACGUACAUAAACAUAAAAAAAAAGAUGAAGUUAGAUCAUCUGAAGUAAAAGGUCCCAGUGUCUUAGCUUAAAAAGUUUUCACUGAGCAAAAUUUUGCCAGUACCUGUAAGUUAUGUUUUUAAUAUAGUUCUAACCUUAAGACCCAUUGCACAUUAUAUCAUCUUUCAACAUCUUGCUGUUUUAAAUGAUAUGAAUUUGACCAUAAAUACACAGGCAAUCAGAUAUGAAUCCAAGACCACAGGAAAAAAAUGCAGAAACAUGAGCUUUACAGUUUUUUUUCAAUAAAGCACAAAAAAGCUGUAUGGGCUGCUGCAGGGAAAGUUAACAUCCCAGCCAGACUCAGUACACCCCUUUGAAGAGGAACAUUGCUAGAAUAUAUAAAAUUAACACCCAAAAGAUAAUAACAAAUCCUGACGACCUCUCUUUCCCCAAGUUGAUUUCUCCAAAUCAGCCAUUUUAUUAGUUAAUUUUAUCUAAAAGGCAAUGGGUUUCUCUACCAAACAGAUUAUAUAUAUAUAUACACCAAUAGAAAAUAUGAGUCAGACAAGGACAAGAUGUAUAACUUCAGCUGGCCAGGUUAGCACUAUCAUAGGAGUAGCUGAGCACAUGAGAGAUUGGCUUUCAGCCUCACUGGUUCAGCUGAUAGCCCCCAAAACAAAAACUUUAAUUUUGGAGAAAAUUUGAAGUGCAUUUAAGCAAUAAGCUAUUUACUUUUUUUUUGUCUAAAGUACUUUUACUACCCAUUUAAAAAAAAAAAAACCAUGAAUCAUUAAUGUAAACAAACGUCUUCUGUUGCAGCAAUUAUUCUAAGUUCUGUUAUAUAUGCACCUGAAAAACAAAAGAAGAGGCAAACCUACUCUACUUCAGCCACUUCUCCUUAGAGUCACAAAAUCCCCCAAACAAAAUAAUGCUAAUGCACUAAUGCAAAAAAAAAUCUGAAACAGACUCCUGUGUACAUCCUUAUUCUUGCAAAAAAGAAUUCUAUUUUUUUUAGGGAUGCAUAGAAGAUGACAUUCCCAGGAUUAUUAACAAUUCUAAACCAUUAUUGUUGCUAAUGCAACCCCACUAAGUUCCAUUUCUUCCCCAAAGAUAUCAGGUGUGCUUAAAUUAUGAAGGAAUUUGAGACAGAACAUCAAAAACAAAGUGGUGUUCAAUGAUCCUACAGCAUUAUUUAUACUUAGCAGAUGUCUUCCUGGGUUCUCUGAUAAACAUUGGCCGCUCCAGAUAUUCAUUUGUUCACACUGCUCUAUGGAUUAUGUUUUAUAAAUUAUGACAGGCCACCAACUGAAAAUCAGUCAUCCAGGAAGGACAUAUCCUCUUCUCACUACAGCAUUCAGAUUACUUUGGAAGCUUCACUACAGUCUCAGUAUAAUCUCACCUAAGAAAGAAAACUGGUUUUGCAUUUUCAAUGUCUCUGUCUUGACAAUAUUUAAAAUUUAUACUUGAUUUGCUAAUUAAAAUAAGUUAGUAAGGCCUCUGGAUGAUCACAUGAUAUCAGCCAUCAAAAACUAAUAUCAUAUGCCUGUGUUUCAUUGUCAUUAUUACUGCUAUUACUUUAAGACAACAAGGAAGAACAUGUACUGAUCUAUAUGUAACUGGUAUGUGAACACCUGGACAGAGACAGAAGGAUACCAUUCCAGUUAUGAGUUUAAUUCUUCUUCAGUGCAACCAAUAUGGAAAAGAAGAGGGAGAAAAACAAACAAACAAACAAAAAAGUAGAUGAUGCAAUUUAGAGUUGAACUGGCUGUAGUGGGUUUACGUAGCAAGGUUUUGGUAGCAGGGGGCCAUAGGGGUGGUUUCUGUGAGAAAGAUCUAGAAGCUGCCCCAUGUUUGGGAAGGGCCCCAUUGUUUUCCAGAGCUGAGCCAAUA